RNAcentral lists this ribosomal RNA (373 nucleotides) under uncultured bacterium. RNAcentral describes it as "bacterial SSU rRNA". It matches the Rfam family "Bacterial small subunit ribosomal RNA", at positions 523 to 898 of the family's 1533-position model. The record is from RNAcentral.
AUACGGAGGGUGCAAGCGUUAUCCGGAUUUACUGGGUUUAAAGGGUGCGUAGGCUGAUAGGUAAGUCAGUGGUGAAAUCCUGGAGCUUAACUCCAGAACUGCCAUUGAUACUAUCUAUCUUGAAUAUUGUGGAGGUUUGCGGAAUAUGUCAUGUAGCGGUGAAAUGCUUAGAUAUGACAUGGAACACCUAUUGCGAAGGCAGCAGGCUACACAUAUAUUGACGCUGAGGCACGAAAGCGUGGGGAUCAAACAGGAUUAGAUACCCUGGUAGUCCACGCCCUAAACGAUGAUUACUCGACAUACGCGAUACACUGUGUGUGUCUGAGCGAAAGCAUUAAGUAAUCCACCUGGGAAGUACGACCGCAAGGUUGAA